RNAcentral lists this ribosomal RNA (2642 nucleotides) under Escherichia coli. RNAcentral's name for it is "partial 23S ribosomal RNA". It matches the Rfam family "Bacterial large subunit ribosomal RNA", at positions 296 to 2925 of the family's 2925-position model. Lineage: Bacteria; Pseudomonadati; Pseudomonadota; Gammaproteobacteria; Enterobacterales; Enterobacteriaceae. The record is from RNAcentral.
AGCCCAGAGCCUGAAUCAGUGUGUGUGUUAGUGGAAGCGUCUGGAAAGGCGCGCGAUACAGGGUGACAGCCCCGUACACAAAAAUGCACAUGCUGUGAGCUCGAUGAGUAGGGCGGGACACGUGGUAUCCUGUCUGAAUAUGGGGGGACCAUCCUCCAAGGCUAAAUACUCCUGACUGACCGAUAGUGAACCAGUACCGUGAGGGAAAGGCGAAAAGAACCCCGGCGAGGGGAGUGAAAAAGAACCUGAAACCGUGUACGUACAAGCAGUGGGAGCACGCUUAGGCGUGUGACUGCGUACCUUUUGUAUAAUGGGUCAGCGACUUAUAUUCUGUAGCAAGGUUAACCGAAUAGGGGAGCCGAAGGGAAACCGAGUCUUAACUGGGCGUUAAGUUGCAGGGUAUAGACCCGAAACCCGGUGAUCUAGCCAUGGGCAGGUUGAAGGUUGGGUAACACUAACUGGAGGACCGAACCGACUAAUGUUGAAAAAUUAGCGGAUGACUUGUGGCUGGGGGUGAAAGGCCAAUCAAACCGGGAGAUAGCUGGUUCUCCCCGAAAGCUAUUUAGGUAGCGCCUCGUGAAUUCAUCUCCGGGGGUAGAGCACUGUUUCGGCAAGGGGGUCAUCCCGACUUACCAACCCGAUGCAAACUGCGAAUACCGGAGAAUGUUAUCACGGGAGACACACGGCGGGUGCUAACGUCCGUCGUGAAGAGGGAAACAACCCAGACCGCCAGCUAAGGUCCCAAAGUCAUGGUUAAGUGGGAAACGAUGUGGGAAGGCCCAGACAGCCAGGAUGUUGGCUUAGAAGCAGCCAUCAUUUAAAGAAAGCGUAAUAGCUCACUGGUCGAGUCGGCCUGCGCGGAAGAUGUAACGGGGCUAAACCAUGCACCGAAGCUGCGGCAGCGACGCUUAUGCGUUGUUGGGUAGGGGAGCGUUCUGUAAGCCUGUGAAGGUGUGCUGUGAGGCAUGCUGGAGGUAUCAGAAGUGCGAAUGCUGACAUAAGUAACGAUAAAGCGGGUGAAAAGCCCGCUCGCCGGAAGACCAAGGGUUCCUGUCCAACGUUAAUCGGGGCAGGGUGAGUCGACCCCUAAGGCGAGGCCGAAAGGCGUAGUCGAUGGGAAACAGGUUAAUAUUCCUGUACUUGGUGUUACUGCGAAGGGGGGACGGAGAAGGCUAUGUUGGCCGGGCGACGGUUGUCCCGGUUUAAGCGUGUAGGCUGGUUUUCCAGGCAAAUCCGGAAAAUCAAGGCUGAGGCGUGAUGACGAGGCACUACGGUGCUGAAGCAACAAAUGCCCUGCUUCCAGGAAAAGCCUCUAAGCAUCAGGUAACAUCAAAUCGUACCCCAAACCGACACAGGUGGUCAGGUAGAGAAUACCAAGGCGCUUGAGAGAACUCGGGUGAAGGAACUAGGCAAAAUGGUGCCGUAACUUCGGGAGAAGGCACGCUGAUAUGUAGGUGAAGUCCCUCGCGGAUGGAGCUGAAAUCAGUCGAAGAUACCAGCUGGCUGCAACUGUUUAUUAAAAACACAGCACUGUGCAAACACGAAAGUGGACGUAUACGGUGUGACGCCUGCCCGGUGCCGGAAGGUUAAUUGAUGGGGUUAGCGGUAACGCGAAGCUCUUGAUCGAAGCCCCGGUAAACGGCGGCCGUAACUAUAACGGUCCUAAGGUAGCGAAAUUCCUUGUCGGGUAAGUUCCGACCUGCACGAAUGGCGUAAUGAUGGCCAGGCUGUCUCCACCCGAGACUCAGUGAAAUUGAACUCGCUGUGAAGAUGCAGUGUACCCGCGGCAAGACGGAAAGACCCCGUGAACCUUUACUAUAGCUUGACACUGAACAUUGAGCCUUGAUGUGUAGGAUAGGUGGGAGGCUUAGAAGUGUGGACGCCAGUCUGCAUGGAGCCGACCUUGAAAUACCACCCUUUAAUGUUUGAUGUUCUAACGUUGACCCGUAAUCCGGGUUGCGGACAGUGUCUGGUGGGUAGUUUGACUGGGGCGGUCUCCUCCUAAAGAGUAACGGAGGAGCACGAAGGUUGGCUAAUCCUGGUCGGACAUCAGGAGGUUAGUGCAAUGGCAUAAGCCAGCUUGACUGCGAGCGUGACGGCGCGAGCAGGUGCGAAAGCAGGUCAUAGUGAUCCGGUGGUUCUGAAUGGAAGGGCCAUCGCUCAACGGAUAAAAGGUACUCCGGGGAUAACAGGCUGAUACCGCCCAAGAGUUCAUAUCGACGGCGGUGUUUGGCACCUCGAUGUCGGCUCAUCACAUCCUGGGGCUGAAGUAGGUCCCAAGGGUAUGGCUGUUCGCCAUUUAAAGUGGUACGCGAGCUGGGUUUAGAACGUCGUGAGACAGUUCGGUCCCUAUCUGCCGUGGGCGCUGGAGAACUGAGGGGGGCUGCUCCUAGUACGAGAGGACCGGAGUGGACGCAUCACUGGUGUUCGGGUUGUCAUGCCAAUGGCACUGCCCGGUAGCUAAAUGCGGAAGAGAUAAGUGCUGAAAGCAUCUAAGCACGAAACUUGCCCCGAGAUGAGUUCUCCCUGACCCUUUAAGGGUCCUGAAGGAACGUUGAAGACGACGACGUUGAUAGGCCGGGUGUGUAAGCGCAGCGAUGCGUUGAGCUAACCGGUACUAAUGAACCGUGAGGCUUAACCUU